AUUGUGGUGGCUCAGUGGUUAAGGCUUUGAGCUCAAACUCCGAUGGUUGUAUGUUCAACUCCCAGCAGCACCA
Molecule: non-coding RNA, 73 nt
Organism: Pangasius djambal
Lineage: Eukaryota; Metazoa; Chordata; Actinopteri; Siluriformes; Pangasiidae
Source: the annotation of a GenBank genome assembly